This is a non-coding RNA of Punica granatum (pomegranate), 294 nucleotides long. Lineage: Eukaryota; Viridiplantae; Streptophyta; Magnoliopsida; Myrtales; Lythraceae. The record is from RefSeq and is a predicted model, not a curated record.
GGAAGGGGAGGUUUCUAUUGCUGACUCCAUUCCAUUCAGGCACACUGCUCUGCCAUUGAAAAAGGUUGUGUGGCGGAGAUUCUUCAAGCAAGUCAAAAAUUAAAAUCAAGGGGGAAGCAUACCGCAAGUUGGAUGGGACGUGGAUACUGUAAAUUCAUGAAUCAAGAUAUAGACAUUAUCUUUAAGGCAUGUUUUAAUUGUUGAAUGAAUUCAAUUCCAUGUGAUUUGGAACAAGAGCCUGUAAGUCAGGUAUGUAAUUACGCGUCUAUUUUCACUCUUUACAUAUUCUAUACA